CUGCUUGAACGCCUGACAAUAUCUGGGUCAAGUGCGACAAGUUUCUAGUCCUCCGGAUGAGUUAUGAGUUCUGAUCAAGUCUCUGAUCACCCCUGGUUCUAAUUAAUUAAAGAAAAUGCAGUCUGAAGCCGCCAAAAUAGCUGACAGUUUACGUAUAUGUUCCAAGUUUUGAAUAGAGUAGCUUGGUAAAUGGAGUUGUAAAACCUUAAAUUCAGCCAAACCACAUUUUGCUUACUGUUGAUAAUCUGUGAGGCAGCUGUUUUCAGCCAAGUCCUGAUCAUGGAUCUAUGACACAAUAUUGGCCAACAUAUGUGUUUUGAUUAGACUGGAUUGUUAUCAUUCCUUGUCAAAGAAAUGCAUUAGAAAACAGGAGGUUGG
Long non-coding RNA from Pocillopora damicornis (cauliflower coral), 378 nucleotides. The record is from RefSeq and is a predicted model, not a curated record. Lineage: Eukaryota; Metazoa; Cnidaria; Anthozoa; Scleractinia; Pocilloporidae.